UCGCUCCGCUGUUACGGCUCUCUUCUCCUGCAGAUUCCCAGCCGGAUCCCCUCCCAGCCUGGCUCUGCACAGCCCGGCCUUGGCAGGCCUGAAAAAACUCAAAGCUGAGGUGACUCCAGCCCGGGGGCCUGAGAGUAAAAGAUGCCGUUGCAAACAAAGGGAGGAGCCUGGAGAAAUAAAUCUACAGAAAAUUAAGGAGCAGAAACAAGUGAAACAGGAGUAACGAACCACUCACCUAAGCAAAGAACCAGUGCCAAGAACCCCCCUGCGGAACUGCAUUUUCAAACCUCUGCACUCUUAAAGAGUGAAAAGGGGAUGUUCUCUAACCUCACCAAUAAUAAAUAGCCCUGUUAAUAAAGGGAGAGAGGCUUUUAGUGAUGGUUAAAUACAACAUACCCAGUAUAAUUAAUAAAAAAUACACAGUGAGCUGCA
Long non-coding RNA from Neopsephotus bourkii (Bourke's parrot), 432 nucleotides. RefSeq lists it as uncharacterized. NCBI's taxonomy places the organism in Eukaryota, Metazoa, Chordata, Aves, Psittaciformes, Psittacidae. The record is from RefSeq and is a predicted model, not a curated record. The transcript has 2 exons.